UCAAAAAGAGUUUAUCAGAAUACUAACUUUGGGAGUUAGAGGGUGGCUGGAUGGUCAUUUUUGAA
This 65-nucleotide transfer RNA is filed under the name Facelina bostoniensis. RNAcentral describes it as "tRNA-Pro". The record is from RNAcentral. Lineage: Eukaryota; Metazoa; Mollusca; Gastropoda; Nudibranchia; Facelinidae.